RNAcentral lists this ribosomal RNA (232 nucleotides) under uncultured bacterium. RNAcentral's name for it is "partial 16S ribosomal RNA". It matches the Rfam family "Bacterial small subunit ribosomal RNA", at positions 1261 to 1500 of the family's 1533-position model. The record is from RNAcentral.
CCGGAUGCCGAUCUCGAAAACCUGUCCUAGUUCGGACUGGAGUCUGCAACCCGACUCCACGAAGUUGGAUUCGCUAGUAAUCGCGCAUCAGCCAUGGCGCGGUGAAUACGUUCCCGGGCCCUGUACACACCGCCCGUCAAGCCAUGGGAGCCGGGGGGCGCCUGAAGUCCGGGACCGCGAGGACCGGCCUAGGGCGAAACUGGUAACUGGGGCUAAGUCGUAACAAGGUAGC